This 839-nucleotide long non-coding RNA is filed under the name Populus trichocarpa (black cottonwood). Its description in RNAcentral is "long non-coding RNA (PTRI_LNC001280)". The record is from RNAcentral. Lineage: Eukaryota; Viridiplantae; Streptophyta; Magnoliopsida; Malpighiales; Salicaceae.
CGUGACUCUCGUCUGUAAGGUGCACCACGAUAGGAAAAGCGAUCGGAGCGGAUCCUACGAUCCAUUGGGCUCCUGCUCCUGCUCCUGCUCCUGCUUUGGCUCCUAGUGUCAGAACUCAUCUUCAAACUUACCCUUAUUAACACCUACCAACACUGAUCUGCAAAACAACACAACACCAACACCCACCGCUGCUGCCUCCUUCCUGUCCACAUCAGAACCACACACCCAUCAUCAUCCAUUAACUCAAACCCAAACCCCUAACUACCCCUCCAAAACAAAAACACCAAAUCCCAACAGUACAAAACAAAACGUUUUUCAACAAGCAUCCAUCCUACUAAGAGUACAUAACAAUGAUACCACUCAACUCAGCACCAGGAACACGUAACCCCGCUCCUCAAUUAUAUCCUUUGAUGAUAAUUGUACAUCUCUUGCAAACAAUCACUGCCCCCAACAGAGUCAAAUCUACAUAAUUAUUAAUGACACUACAUAACUCCAUCUUCUUCACUGAUCAUUCAAACCAAACCAGCCACUACAGAAAGAGGCAAAUUAAAAGAACAUGAUACGAGGUGAGAAAAACUUCAGUUAUUAAUUAGUAAAAUUUUCUCCCUGCAACAGAAGAAGUCCAUCAAUAAUUAGGCAAACGUUCAAAAAAUAGUUUCAAGAGGAGAGGGUGGGUAUUUAAGCAAGCUGGCUAUUUCUUUCUGUUACGGAAUCAACCAUAUCUAGAGAUACAAUCCUGAACUAAGCUAAGAGGUCCUGACCAAUACUGCAAAAGAAGAUUACCAACAACAUUUGGAGCCUUUUCGUAGUUCUGUUGAGAGUUUCCAAAAUUUUUGGGA